CUAACGGCUGAACCAGCAACUUGGAGGAAUGUAUAGCUACGGCUAAUUGUGUAUAACUACACGAUAUCGACUCUGUCGAAUAAAAUUCUGGGUAAAUUAUGAUGAUGACAUUUUUUACCUAUGUGUCUUGACCAAAUUGUGUGCCAGCAGUCGCGGUAAUACAUAGAAGACUAGUGUUAUUCAUCUUUAAUAGGUUUAAAGGGUACCUAGACGGUAGAUCAAGCCCUAGACGGGACUAAUUUGCUAGAGUUACUUAUGAGGGGGCUUUAAAGUACUAAUGGUGUAGAGAUAAAAUUUUGUAAUACCAUUUUUCGUAAAGAAAAAUUAUGGCACUGGUAAAGGUGAAAGCAUCCCCCUAUGUGA
This 363-nucleotide ribosomal RNA is filed under the name Ramalina farinacea. RNAcentral's name for it is "SSU rRNA". Lineage: Eukaryota; Fungi; Ascomycota; Lecanoromycetes; Lecanorales; Ramalinaceae. RNAcentral also lists the same sequence under 1 other name. The record is from RNAcentral.